UACGAAGGGUGCAAACGUUGCUCGGAAUCAUUGGGCGUAAAGCGUACGUAGGCGGCCUCGCAAGUCUGAUGUGAAAUCCCUCUGCUCAACCGAGGACGUGCAUCGGAAACUGCGGGGCUUGAGUACUGAAGAGGAUCGCGGAAUUCCCGGUGUAGAGGUGAAAUUCGUAGAUAUCGGGAGGAACACCAGUGGCGAAGGCGGCGAUCUGGGCAGAUACUGACGCUGAGGUGCGAAAGCGUGGGGAGCAAACAGG
This 253-nucleotide ribosomal RNA is filed under the name uncultured bacterium. RNAcentral describes it as "partial 16S ribosomal RNA". It matches the Rfam family "Bacterial small subunit ribosomal RNA", at positions 524 to 776 of the family's 1533-position model. The record is from RNAcentral.